RNAcentral lists this long non-coding RNA (617 nucleotides) under Homo sapiens (human). RNAcentral describes it as "non-protein coding lnc-FPR1-2:2". Lineage: Eukaryota; Metazoa; Chordata; Mammalia; Primates; Hominidae. The record is from RNAcentral.
CUGUGAUUACCUCUUGACAGGUUGUCAAGCUACCAAGCCAGAAGCAAUAUUCCAGUUGGGGAAAGAAGAACAAGGAAUAGUAGAGAGAGAAUUCCCAAGUUGGUGCAGUCCAGCACGAUGGAAUUUAGUCGCCAGAAAAUGGCCAUCUCGCUAUCUGUAAGAAGCAUCUUCCAAGACUGCUGCUUCCAUGUGCACGCCUGGUUUCAAAGUCUGUAGACAUCUUGUGUUCCGCGAAGGUGCUACUGAGUCUGCACAAGAGCGUGACUACGGCAGUGAGUGAAGAGGUUACGGAAACCUGCUAGUCCUCAAGCGAAUGUUUGUGCGACUCCAGCUGUAGGGUGAGUUUCCCAGCGCUGUUGGGGUCCUUGACCGGAUGCGACCAGCAUGGGGUACUUGUGGAGGUUUGCGGUGUAAGAAGGCUUCAGGGAAUGGUCAGUGGAAUCUGAAGCUGGGGGUUAGCCACUGAGGGCUUCUGUGGUCUGGAUUGGAGCAUCCUCAGCGUCGAGUGGAAGUCGGUGUCUGGGGAACCAGGAAAAGCGAGCAAGCGAUGCGGAGUUGGGGGCCAUUAUGGCUAUCGGUGAUGGGAAGGGCUGGGGAAGGAGGUACUUCAUUGCUUC